CAGUCGCCACGGUAAUACGAAGGGGGCUAGCGUUGUUCGGAUUUACUGGGCGUAAAGGGCGCGUAGGCGGACUGAUAUGUCAGGGGUGAAAUCCCAAGGCUCAACCUUGGAACUGCCUUUGAUACUGUUUGUCUUGAGUUCGAGAGAGGUAAGUGGAACUGCGAGUGUAGAGGUGAAAUUCGUAGAUAUUCGCAAGAACACCAGUGGCGAAGGCGGCUUACUGGCUCGAAACUGACGCUGAGGCGCGAAAGCGUGGGGAGCAAACAGGAUUAGAUACCCCAGUAGUCCCUGUCUCUUAUAC
This 301-nucleotide ribosomal RNA is filed under the name uncultured bacterium. Its description in RNAcentral is "partial 16S ribosomal RNA". It matches the Rfam family "Bacterial small subunit ribosomal RNA", at positions 509 to 807 of the family's 1533-position model. The record is from RNAcentral.